This 253-nucleotide ribosomal RNA is filed under the name uncultured bacterium. RNAcentral describes it as "partial 16S ribosomal RNA". It matches the Rfam family "Bacterial small subunit ribosomal RNA", at positions 524 to 776 of the family's 1533-position model. The record is from RNAcentral.
UACGGGGGGGGCAAGCGUUGUUCGGAAUUACUGGGCGUAAAGGGUGCGUAGGCGGCUUUCUAAGUUGGAUGUGAAAACUCUGGGCUCAACCCAGAGCCUGCAUCCAAAACUGGAGAGCUUGGGUUCUGGAGGGGAAAGCGGAAUUCCUGGUGUAGCGGUGAAAUGCGCAGAUAUCAGGAAGAACACCCGUGGCGAAGGCGGCUCUCUGGGACGGUACUGACGCUGAGACGCGAAAGCGUGGGGAGCGAACAGG